CACGAAGGGGGCUAGCGUUGCCCGGAAUCACUGGGCGUACAGCGCACGUAGGCGGACUCUUAAGUCGGGGGUGAAAUCCUGGAGCUCAACUCCAGAACUGCCUUCGAUACUGAGAGUCUUCGAGUUCGGGAGAGGUGAGUGGAACUGCGAGUGUAGAGGUGAAAUUCGUAGAUAUUCGCAAGAACACCAGUGGCGAAGGCGGCUCACUGGCCCGAUACUGACGCUGAGGUGCGAAAGCGUGGGGAGCAAACAGG
This 254-nucleotide ribosomal RNA is filed under the name uncultured bacterium. RNAcentral's name for it is "partial 16S ribosomal RNA". It matches the Rfam family "Bacterial small subunit ribosomal RNA", at positions 524 to 776 of the family's 1533-position model. The record is from RNAcentral.